This 58-nucleotide transfer RNA is filed under the name Argiope perforata. RNAcentral's name for it is "tRNA-Asp". Lineage: Eukaryota; Metazoa; Arthropoda; Arachnida; Araneae; Araneidae. The record is from RNAcentral.
GAGAAAUUAGUUUAAUAAAAAUAUUAGUUUGUCAAAUUAAAGAAAGGAAUAUUCCUCA